Molecule: ribosomal RNA, 812 nt
Filed under: uncultured bacterium
Lineage: Bacteria
Description: bacterial SSU rRNA
Rfam family: Bacterial small subunit ribosomal RNA
Source: RNAcentral
CAGUCGAGGGGCAGCAUGGUCUUAGCUUGCUAAGGCUGAUGGCGACCGGUUCACGGGUGAGUAACACGUAUCCAACCUGCCGUCUACUCUUGGCCAGCCUUCUGAAAGGAAGAUUAAUCCAGGAUGGGAUCAUGAGUUCACAUGUCCGCAUGAUUAAAGGUAUCUUCCGGUAGACGAUGGGGAUGCGUUCCAUUAGAUAGUAGGCGGGGUAACGGCCCACCUAGUCAACGAUGGAUAGGGGUUCUGAGAGGAAGGUCCCCCACAUUGGAACUGAGACACGGUCCAAACUCCUACGGGAGGCAGCAGUGAGGAAUACUGGUCAAUGGGCGAUGGCCUGAACCAGUCAAGUAGCGUGAAGGAUGACUGCCCUAUGGGUUGUAAACUUCUUUUAUAAAGGAAUAAAGUCGGGUAUGCAUACCCGUUUGCAUGUACUUUAUGAAUAAGGAUCGGCUAACUCCGUGCCAGCAGCCGCGGUAAUACGGAGGAUCCGAGCGUUAUCCGGAUUUAUUGGGUUUAAAGGGAGCGUAGAUGGAUGUUUAAGUCAGUUGUGAAAGUUUGCGGCUCAACCGUAAAAUUGCAGUUGAUACUGGAUGUCUUGAGUGCAGUUGAGGCAGGCGGAAUUCGUGGUGUAGCGGUGAAAUGCUUAGAUAUCACGAAGAACUCCGAUUGCGAAGGCAGCCUGCUAAGCUGCAACUGACAUUGAGGCUCGAAAGUGUGGGUAUCAAACAGGAUUAGAUACCCUGGUAGUCCACACGGUAAACGAUGAAUACUCGCUGUUUGCGAUAUACGGCAAGCGGCCAAGCGAAAGCGUU